UACCCGUUUAAAAGUUUAAAAAUAUUAUUGUUAGGAUGAAAAGGAUGGUUUAGAAGGAGACGAACCAAGUGAAGAGGAUACAUUAAACGAUACAACAUCUGCUCUUGGCACAGGAUUUUGGGUUCUUUUGAGCCUAGGAGUAGUUCUAGCGGUUGGAAUUGCUAUAGUUAUAUAUAUUUAUAAAAGGAUCCAGAAGAAGAACCCGAAGGUGACUCGACCAAAUGAAUAUUCAGCUGUAAGCAGGGAUGAAGAUCAAGUACAGAAGGAAAACAACCAAGUAUAGGAAUAAUCAACAUUAUCAAUGACGAUUUGAAACUAAAGAAUAUCCCCUUUUCCUAAAUAUAACAAUAGUAAAAACAAAUUCGUCAAUAUUGAGAAUAGUUUAACCCUAUCUCUGCUGGGGUACUUGAAAACCAGGAUACGCUGGGGGGGGGGGUCAAUUUGACCCCCUCUCUA
This 456-nucleotide long non-coding RNA is filed under the name Eurytemora carolleeae. RNAcentral describes it as "uncharacterized LOC111716739". Lineage: Eukaryota; Metazoa; Arthropoda; Copepoda; Calanoida; Temoridae. The record is from RNAcentral.